Molecule: microRNA, 22 nt
Filed under: Acyrthosiphon pisum (pea aphid)
Lineage: Eukaryota; Metazoa; Arthropoda; Insecta; Hemiptera; Aphididae
Description: api-miR-3026
Source: miRBase by way of RNAcentral
UCGGCGUAACAUGAUGUGUGCG